GGAUAAUCAGUAAUUUAAAAAUUUUUGUCUCAUAUACAAUCACAGAUAUCCUAAUUUCUGUUUUUUAAGGAAUCACUAUGAUCUCAAUGUAGUACAGGAAUUUUGGGAUACUUCAAAAAAAAAGAGAAGACUUACAGUAAAAAAACUUAUUUAAAAAUCAUUGUAAACACUUUGUAAAAAUAAUUUUUAUUUAGAUUAUUUUGGAAACAUGGUGGUGAAGAAUGGUAAGAUGUCAUGUGUUUACCUUAGGCAACUAAAUUAAGUCUCAUCAGUGUUUUGUUGAGGUUGGUUAAUGUCUCUAACUGAAGAUUUUUUAUUAUUUAAAAAUAUUAAAAGCAAAAACUGUACAGUUAAUUUAUUGAUUCAUCCACAUAAAAUUUACUGAGUGUCUGUUAUUGCCAGACUUUAAGAUGGUCUAGCAGAUACACGGGUGAAUAAACCUCUCCCUCAGGGCCAGUAACUUCAGUGAUAGAAACAUGUAUAAGACAUUACGGAAGCAUUUGCUAUGAGAGCACAACCCAAUCAAGGAGUUUCAAAAAUCGGGGAAGUUUAUUUUACUUUUGGAAUCUCCUAAAGCUGCUUCCCUUUGCCAAUAGCUGCUCUUUGACCCUACUUCUUUUCAAAGUAGAUCAAAUUGUCUGCAUUAAAUGUGAUGCUGUACUGGUCUCAACACUAGCAGAAAUCUCAGCCUGUGCAAAAUGCAGUGAAAUUAAGGCUGGCCUAGUAGCCUGUCACUUUAUCAUACUAUGACAAGUUACUCAUCCAAAAGACAGAGAUAAUAUUUUCCUAAUUUAUGGAGUUUUUUAUAGGUCAAAUGAGAUAUUAUGUAAAAACAAUACAAUGUUAAUUAUCAUACAAAAAGAGGUUUUAAUUUAAGACAUUUAAGCAAGAUGGUGAAAUCUUAGAAAAUAUAAAAUUUGGUUUUUGAAACUUUAUCAGUGAAGGAAAUAGUUCUGAAUGUCAUUGUGAUCUUCCUUUUACAUGAAAAAUAAACCCAGAAUGUUUAUAGUAUGAAUUUUAGGAUUUUAGCAUCGAUGUCACUGUUCAAAACUCUCUGUGCUAUACAUUUUACCAUUUUGUUCUAUAUGGAAAAAUUCUCUAAUUUUUCUGCACAUGUACAGUUUACAUUUAAGUGAAAGGAACUGUUGGUCCACUAUAUCAAUUUUUAUCAUUGCAAAGGCUUUAUGAUAUCGUGGAAGGAACACUGGACUAAGAAUUAAAAAUCUGGUUUCGAGUUCUUAAUCUACAAUUAUUUGUGUUAUCCUGCCUGAGUUCUAGUUUACUCCUCUGGAGAAAAUGACAGAAUAAUUACUGUUGUAUGUACUUUAUUAAGUAGUUGGGAAGAAUAAUUGAGUAAAGCUUGAAGAGCCAUACAGAUAUCAGGGGUUGUGUGGAAUUGCAAUAACAGGGCGUAUGUUUCACUGAGAGUUAAAACUGUGUUAAAUGCAACUUUUAUAAAAUGUGGAAUUACUUCUAAUAAUAGAAGCUUCCCUGGCAUUUACUUUAUGUGAGAUGUUUGUGCAGAAAUAAUAGCCAUGAUUUUCACUGCCUUUUCAUGAGUCCUGGGAGCCAAGAGCCGUUGUGAGAAGCCCAUAGAUACCUCUACCUGAGGACAGAAUUACUGCCCUAGAAGCUAGUAUUUACCUGGGACUGCUCAAGCUACACAGUACUCCAUUUUUUUAAAGAGAGAAGCAUGUGAAAAUCUCCUAAGGUAUUAUGGGUGUUUUUCCCGAAUUUUUAUUGACUGUUGUUGUUUGCAUCUCUCUUUGUUUUUGUGAAUUGGUCUCCUCCACCCAGUGCAUAUAAUUUUGAAGUUUAAACAAUCUACAUCAAUAUAUUCUGUAAGCACUUAUACGUGUGAGUGAACAAUGUCUAAAAUUAAUAUCUUAAUCGUCCUACUGAUUUUAUUACCUUG
Long non-coding RNA from Equus caballus (horse), 1915 nucleotides. Lineage: Eukaryota; Metazoa; Chordata; Mammalia; Perissodactyla; Equidae. The record is from Ensembl.